UACGGGGGGGGGCAAGCGUUGUUCGGAAUUACUGGGCGUAAAGGGCUCGUAGGUGGCCAACUAAGUCAGACGUGAAAUCCCUCGGCUUAACCGGGGAACUGCAUCUGAUACUGGAUGGCUUGAGUUUGGGAGAGGGAUGCGGAAUUCCAGGUGUAGCGGUGAAAUGCGUAGAUAUCUGGAGGAACACCGGUGGCGAAGGCGGCAUCCUGGACCAACACUGACACUGAGGAGCGAAAGCGUGGGGAGCGAACAGG
RNAcentral lists this ribosomal RNA (254 nucleotides) under uncultured bacterium. RNAcentral describes it as "partial 16S ribosomal RNA". It matches the Rfam family "Bacterial small subunit ribosomal RNA", at positions 524 to 776 of the family's 1533-position model. The record is from RNAcentral.